ACUAGAUAAACCACAAGUCCACAACAUACAUCGAUGAUGGGAGCGUGUGUUGACCAUUCCUAUCGGUGCACGACAUGCUUUAUGCACACAUGAGUAUCGCACAUGGAUCUUGAUAGAAUAUGAAGCCCAAAUAUCAAGUGGAGAAGGAUACAAUGGGCUUGCCGGAAAACAUAUGGGCACGGAGUGUGUUGAACAUGAGACAAGAAGUCUCUACCAUUAGAAGAGGUCAACUGGCAUCAAGCUCUUGGA
This 249-nucleotide unclassified non-coding RNA is filed under the name Hevea brasiliensis (rubber tree). The record is from RNAcentral. Lineage: Eukaryota; Viridiplantae; Streptophyta; Magnoliopsida; Malpighiales; Euphorbiaceae.